Molecule: non-coding RNA, 1248 nt
Organism: Cyanistes caeruleus (blue tit)
Lineage: Eukaryota; Metazoa; Chordata; Aves; Passeriformes; Paridae
Source: RefSeq, a predicted model, not a curated record
GCGCCAGCAGCCCUGGGGGACACCGGGACCCCGCGGGGACAGCGCCAGCAACCCUGGGGGACAGUGCCCCCAGCCCCGGGGGGACACCGGGACCCCGCGGGGACAGCGCCAGCAACCCUGGGGGACAGUGCCCCCAGCCCUGGGGGGACACCGGCACCCCGCGGGGACAGUGCCAGCAGCCCCGGGGGACACGGCUCCCCACGGUGCGGCUGGGAAGGCACCGGAGUGUCCCCUCGCAGAGGGAUGUCACCCGGGGCAGGUGGCACAGGAGCUCUGGGGUGUCUGCAAGCCCCGGGCAGCGCUGUCACCCUCCAAGGGAAGAAGUUCUGUCUCGCCCUGGGGCAGAACUUGUCCGGUUUUAUUCAUUUAUGGCUGUUGUUCUUCGUCCUGUCUCAGUGAACAGAACCUUGGAGAUGUUUACGUGCCUUGGUGACAUCUCAGGCUUCUCUAAGCUAAACGUGCCCAGCUCAUUUUUGGAUGGAGAGGAGAGGAAGCCCCCGGUGUCUGUCCAGCCCCAGACAGGUUUUACACGUAAAGCUGCCUCAUCCUUGUGAAAAGUUACUUUUGUUCGGUGUCAAGCGGCGAUGACUGUUCUGCAGAGGGAGCUGAAGAUCUCUGUGCAGAAAUGAAUGCUUGUCCUUCACUGCUGAUGAGAUUCCUCCAAGGAGUGACAUUUUGGGAUGACGCUGCUGGCUCGGGCUGCCAUGGAGAAUAAGGGAGCUGUUGCUGCUCUAUUUAUCCCCUGCAGAAGUUCUGGCAGUGAGUAACUGAUGGCUCGGGUUAGUCAGACAUCCACCCUUUCAGUGAUUGAUGGGUACGUGAGCGAGCCUUCCAGAAUCCUCUUUGAAUAGCAAAUGGUGUCAUCCCGAGCUGCCACUUGCCAAAUUUCACUCCUCUUUCACCUUUUCUUCGCAUCCAAACUCCGAGUGUCAAAAGUUACUUUUUCCCUGCAGAAUGUUACCUAACACUCCUUCUCAGUCACGUCAUUCUAAAGGAAGUUUUUAGCCUUAAAACUCAUUUGCUUCCUGCCCUGCUUCAAGCCUCAGCCCGAUGCAAAAUGAAUUAUUAAGUCAGAUUUUGGUGCUCGGAAGAGAAAACUUCUACAGAAGAGCCACCACAAAGCCGGAAAAUUCAGCUCACAAAAAAACCCCCACGGCUUAGAAAGGCUGAGAGAGGAACUGCACCCGCAAAAAAAAACAUCAUUUGCAGGGCAGCUUUCAGAGCCUUUUGAUGAUUUUUGCUCUGCUC